RNAcentral lists this long non-coding RNA (1036 nucleotides) under Chloebia gouldiae (Gouldian finch). Its description in RNAcentral is "Erythrura gouldiae (Gouldian finch) lncRNA (ENSEGOG00005008956.1)". The record is from RNAcentral. Lineage: Eukaryota; Metazoa; Chordata; Aves; Passeriformes; Passeridae.
AGCGUGCGAGGGGCUGGGUGCGGCGUGGUUCCACCUGGGAGACCCCCAGAAAGCCAUCGGGCACUAUCAGGAGGCUCUGAUUUUGCUUUCCCGCUGUCAGGACAGCCCCAGAGCUGCACACAAACGGGUCGUGCACAAGCUCACAGAUGCCAUCCAGCACCGACUCCACCUCAGCCACCUCUCCUACCAGGGGAGCUGGGCACCCAGCCCAGCCCUGGAGCCCAGCCAGCUGCGGUUUUGCUCCACACUGCCCUGUGCCAGUAGGACACAGCUGCAAGGGAGCGAGGUGUGAGUAGGAAAGCUGCCAUCCUCUCUCUCCUUCCUCUGGAAUGAGUUUCCAGAUGAAACAGGAGACAAGCCUUCCUUCUUUCCAUGUCCUUCAGGGGGAAAGCCCAGACUGAGGACGAGCUGCAAUGGCGUAAACCAGGAGCAUAUCACGGGUAUUCAGGCACAAGAAUGGCCCUGACUGCUGGUCUCGCACUGGAGCCUUGCAACACAAGUGGCCUUCUGGGCACCUCUGGGGAGGAUGAUGAUGGUCCCAGCUCAGCUCCAGGGUAUCACAAUGCGCCCCAGGCUAACAGCACAAGAAUCACCAUCCCCCUGCCCCUGGCCAAACCACUCCAUGUAGGCCUCCAGCUCCACAAGUCCCACAGACAACCAGAACAUCACUUCUCCAGUGAGCCCAGGCCUGAGGGUCUCACACCGCAUUCCACAUGGCAUCAAAACCACCAAACCCUCCCUCCAAGGCCUCCAGAGAGCCUUGACAAUGCCCCCACUGCCACUGCUGCCGGCUGCUGGUCCCGCCGGGGACCUCGCACGGGGACCAGGACUCUGUCCCUGGUCUGCAGCCUCGUGUGACCAGGAGGGCACCGGGGAAACGCCGUUUCUCGGGGGCUGUCCAGGCCCAAACCUGAGGCUGGGGGGGGUGGGCCGUUCAGCCAACACGAUUUUGACUCCGCUCCGUUUCCGCCAUCCUGUGUGUGAAAAAUGCCAAUCACUUGGUUUUUAAAAUUUAAAAAACUUAAUAAUAAUAAAA